RNAcentral lists this ribosomal RNA (116 nucleotides) under Periophthalmus magnuspinnatus. The record is from RNAcentral. Lineage: Eukaryota; Metazoa; Chordata; Actinopteri; Gobiiformes; Gobiidae.
AGCCAUGCAGAGCCGCAGUAUAAUUAUCUUGUUUAAGUGCAGAAGCUAAGCAGGGUUGGGCCUGGUUAGUACUUGGAUGGGAGACCACUGAGAAUACACUGGGGCAGCAAAGGCUC